Molecule: transfer RNA, 65 nt
Filed under: Oecetis caucula
Lineage: Eukaryota; Metazoa; Arthropoda; Insecta; Trichoptera; Leptoceridae
Description: tRNA-Ser
Source: RNAcentral
AAUUAAUAAGCUUUAAGCAAAUGUUUUGAAAACAUUCUAAAGAAUAAAUAGUAUUCUAUUAAUUU